UCCCGUAUAGUCUAGUGGUUAGGAUAUCAGGUUUUCAAGUGUUUUCUCUUGAAAUUCCCUGACGGCCCGGGUUCGAACCCCGGUACGGGAA
Echria macrotheca is the source of this 91-nucleotide non-coding RNA. Lineage: Eukaryota; Fungi; Ascomycota; Sordariomycetes; Sordariales; Schizotheciaceae. The record is from the annotation of a GenBank genome assembly.